RNAcentral lists this ribosomal RNA (450 nucleotides) under uncultured Paraglomus. Its description in RNAcentral is "bacterial SSU rRNA". It matches the Rfam family "Eukaryotic small subunit ribosomal RNA", at positions 569 to 1022 of the family's 1831-position model. Lineage: Eukaryota; Fungi; Glomeromycota; Glomeromycetes; Paraglomerales; Paraglomeraceae. The record is from RNAcentral.
AGCAGCCGCGGUAAUUCCAGCUCCAAUAGCGUAUAUUAAAGUUGUUGCAGUUAAAAAGCUCGUAGUUGAACCUUAGGCCCGUCCGAGCGGUCCGUCCUCUGGGCGAGCACUGCUUCGCGGCGGGUCUCACCUUCUGGCGAGCGUGGAUGCCAUUCGGUUGGUGUCCGCGGGAACCAGGACCUUUACCUUGAAAAAUUAGAGUGUUUAAAGCGGGCUUCGACGCUUGAAUACAUUAGCAUGGAAUAAUGAAAUAGGACGAGGUUCUAUCUUGUUGGUUUAGGGGCCUUCGUAAUGAUUAAUAGGGAUAGUCGGGGGCAUUCGUAUUCAAUUAUCAGAGGUGAAAUUCUUGGAUUUAUUGAAGACGAACUACUGCGAAAAGCAUUUGCCAAGGAUGUUUUCAUUAAUCAAGAACGAAAGUUGGGGGAUCGAAGACGAUCAGAUACCGUCGUA